RNAcentral lists this ribosomal RNA (523 nucleotides) under uncultured delta proteobacterium. Its description in RNAcentral is "bacterial SSU rRNA". It matches the Rfam family "Bacterial small subunit ribosomal RNA", at positions 355 to 868 of the family's 1533-position model. Lineage: Bacteria; Deltaproteobacteria. The record is from RNAcentral.
UGGGGAAUUUUGCGCAAUGGGGGAAACCCUGACGCAGCAACGCCGCGUGGGUGAUGAAGGCCCUCGGGUCGUAAAGCCCUGUCGGGAGGGAAGAAAUGAUUGAGAGCUAAUACCUCUUGGUCUUGACGGUACCUCCGAAGGAAGCACCGGCUAACUCCGUGCCAGCAGCCGCGGUAAUACGGAGGGUGCAAGCGUUGUUCGGAAUUAUUGGGCGUAAAGCGCGUGUAGGCGGUCUUUUAAGUCUGAUGUGAAAGCCCCGGGCUCAACCUGGGAAGUGCAUUGGAAACUGGGAGACUUGAGUACGGGAGAGGAGAGUGGAAUUCCUAGUGUAGGAGUGAAAUCCGUAGAUAUUAGGAGGAACACCGGUGGCGAAGGCGGCUCUCUGGACCGAUACUGACGCUGAGACGCGAAAGCGUGGGUAGCAAACAGGAUUAGAUACCCUGGUAGUCCACGCCGUAAACGAUGAGUACUAGGUGUUGCGGGUAUUGACCCCUGCAGUGCCGUAGCUAACGCAUUAAGUACU